AUGGGAUUUUGGGUCAAGUUAUUGGGAUUUUGGGUCAAGAUAGUGGGAUGUUGGGUCAAGAUAAUGGGAUUUUGGGUCAACUUUGUUGGGUUUUGGGUCAAUGCAAUGGGGUUUGGGGUCGAGGAAUGGGGUUUCAAGCCAACUGAAUGGGAUUUUGGGUCAAGUUAUUGGGAUUCUGGGUCGAGUUAUUGGGAUUUUGCUCAAGAUAAUGGGAUUUUGGGUCAAGUAAUGGGAUUUCGGGUCAACUUAGUUGGGUUUUGGGUCAAGAUAGUGGGAUUCUGGGUCAAGUUAAUGGGAUUUUGGGUCGAGUUAUUGGGAUUUUGGGUCAACUUUGUUGGGUUUUGGGUCAACUCAGUUGGGUUUUGGGUCACAAUAAUGGGAUUUUCCGUCACGAUAAUGGGAUUUUCCGUCAAGUUAACGGGAUUUGGAGUCGAGCAAUGGGAUUUUGGGUUCCGUUAAUGGGAUUUGGGUUGGGAUUGGGGUCUUUUCCUGCCUACACAGCCAGGUAAAGAGUAAUGGGGCAGUGAUCACUUCCCAUGGCCGUGGACCGGAUCUUGGAAUCGCACAGCGCCGACCCCAACCUCUUGGACAGCAGGAAAUAAUCCAACCUCCAGCCCACGUUGCGUUCCCUGGCCGCCCCCAUGUAGGUCCAGAAGGUGUAAGCGUGGGGUAAAUUGGGGUAAAGCUCCCGAAACGAAUCCAGGAAGCCGGCGUCGAGCAAAGCCCCGAAUCCAUCCCUCUCCUCUUGGGUGAAACCGGCCGAACGUCGGUUGUUUUUCGGGUGCCUGAGGUCGAUUUCUUGAUGGGCCACGUUCAGAUCCCCGCAAAGAACCACGGGUUUUUGGGAAUCCAAGCCCAAAAGGAAACUUUUAAAGGCUUCGUCCCAACGUUGGCGGUAUUGGAGGCGGGUUAAACCCCGGCCUGAAUUGGGGACGUAGGCGGAAACGAUGUAAAAAGAAGGGAAUUCGGCCGUCAGGACGCGGCCCUCGGCGUCGUGUUCUUCUAUGCCUGGGGUGGGGAAGGAGGAAAU
RNAcentral lists this long non-coding RNA (1030 nucleotides) under Phasianus colchicus (ring-necked pheasant). RNAcentral describes it as "lncRNA (ENSPCLG00000017263.1)". The record is from RNAcentral. Lineage: Eukaryota; Metazoa; Chordata; Aves; Galliformes; Phasianidae.